GGACUACUCGGGUAUCUAAUCCCGUUCGCUCCCCUAGCUUUCGCACCUGAGCGUCAGGUACCAUCCAGGACACUGCCUUCGCCUUUGGUAUUCCUCCGGAUAUCUACGCAUUUCACCACUACACCCGGAAUUCUGUGUCCCUCUCUGGCCCUCAAGUCGAACAGUCUUCAAGGCGCUCUCCCAGUUAAGCCGGGAGCUGUAACCUCAAACUUGUCCCACCGCCUGCGUGCGCUUUACGCCCAAUAAAUCCGGACAACGCUUGCCCCCUACGUAUUACCGCGGCUGCUGGCAC
RNAcentral lists this ribosomal RNA (292 nucleotides) under uncultured bacterium. Its description in RNAcentral is "partial 16S ribosomal RNA". The record is from RNAcentral.